This 467-nucleotide ribosomal RNA is filed under the name uncultured delta proteobacterium. Its description in RNAcentral is "bacterial SSU rRNA". It matches the Rfam family "Bacterial small subunit ribosomal RNA", at positions 11 to 462 of the family's 1533-position model. Lineage: Bacteria; Deltaproteobacteria. The record is from RNAcentral.
GUUUGAUCAUGGCUCAGAAUGAACGCUGCGGCGUGCCUAACACAUGCAAGUCGAACGAGAAAGGGGCUUCGGCUCCGAGUAAAGUGGCGCACGGGUGAGUAACACGUGGGUAACCUGCCUCUAAGAUUGGGAUAACUCGUCGAAAGAUGAGCUAAUACCGAAUAAGACCACAGUUCCUGCGGGGACAGGGGUCAAAGGUAGUCUCUGCUUGCAAGCUAUCACUUAGAGAUGGGCCUGCGCACCAUUAGCUAGUUGGUAGGGUAACGGCCUACCAAGGCAAAGAUGGUUAGCUGGUCUGAGAGGAUGAUCAGCCACACUGGAACUGAGACACGGCCCAGACUCCUACGGGAGGCAGCAGUGGGGAAUAUUGCGCAAUGGGCGAAAGCUUGACGCAGCAACGCCGCGUGAGUGAUGAAGGCCUUACGGGUCGUAAAGCUCUGUCGGGAGGAACGAAUGCUCCUGAGGUU